RNAcentral lists this ribosomal RNA (468 nucleotides) under uncultured bacterium. Its description in RNAcentral is "partial 16S ribosomal RNA". It matches the Rfam family "Bacterial small subunit ribosomal RNA", at positions 28 to 507 of the family's 1533-position model. The record is from RNAcentral.
GACGAACGCUGGCGGCGUGCUUAACACAUGCAAGUCGAACGGAAAGGCCCUGCUUUUGUGGGGUGCUCGAGUGGCGAACGGGUGAGUAACACGUGAGUAACCUGCCCUUGACUUUGGGAUAACUUCAGGAAACUGGGGCUAAUACCGGAUAGGAGCUCCUGCUGCAUGGUGGGGGUUGGAAAGUUUCGGCGGUUGGGGAUGGACUCGCGGCUUAUCAGCUUGUUGGUGGGGUAGUGGCUUACCAAGGCUUUGACGGGUAGCCGGCCUGAGAGGGUGACCGGCCACAUUGGGACUAGGAUACGGCCCAGACUCCUACGGGAGGCAGCAGUGGGGAAUAUUGCACAAUGGGCGGAAGCCUGAUGCAGCAACGCCGCGUGCGGGAGGACGGCCUUCGGGUUGUAAACCGCUUUCGCCUGUGACGAAGCGUGAGUGACGGUAAUGGGUAAAGAAGCACCGGCUAACUACGUG